CCUACGGGAGGCAGCAGUGGGGAAUAUUGGACAAUGGGCGAAAGCCUGAUCCAGCCAUGCCGCGUGUGUGAAGAAGGUCUUCGGAUUGUAAAGCACUUUAAGUUGGGAGGAAGGGCAUUAACCUAAUACGUUAGUGUUUUGACGUUACCGACAGAAUAAGCACCGGCUAACUCUGUGCCAGCAGCCGCGGUAAUACAGAGGGUGCAAGCGUUAAUCGGAAUUACUGGGCGUAAAGCGCGCGUAGGUGGUUUGUUAAGUUGGAUGUGAAAGCCCCGGGCUCAACCUGGGAACUGCAUCCAAAACUGGCAAGCUAGAGUACGGUAGAGGGUGGUGGAAUUUCCUGUGUAGCGGUGAAAUGCGUAGAUAUAGGAAGGAACACCAGUGGCGAAGGCGACCACCUGGACUGAUACUGACACUGAGGUGCGAAAGCGUGGGGAGCAAGCAGGAUUAGAUACCCUGGUAGUCCACGCCGUAAACGAUGUCAACUAGCCGUUGGAAUCCUUGAGAUUUUAGUGGCGCAGCUAACGCAUUAAGUUGACCGCCUGGGGAGUACGGCCGCAAGGUUAAAACUCAAAUGAAUUGACGG
Molecule: ribosomal RNA, 586 nt
Filed under: uncultured bacterium
Lineage: Bacteria
Description: bacterial SSU rRNA
Rfam family: Bacterial small subunit ribosomal RNA
Source: RNAcentral